CAACUUUCCAUCCACGGAGGACUCCUGCCAAUAGCUCCCUGCAGUUCGCUCCGUGUGGAACACAGUCUGGAUCCAGGUGCUACAGGAGUGUGUAAACACUGGGCCUGCUGGACUCUGCCACUGAAGCAGCCCGCUUCCCAGAACCCGCGGCCCCAGUUUCUGUUCAGCUGGGGCUCUUUCUGUAAGGCUCUGCAAGCCCCGCUGCUCCUUCUGAUGAGAGAACUCCUAAAAUGGCAGCAGCACCUUUUGGAGAGAACACUGGUGCUUGGGUUGAAGUGCUUUGUAAGAUCUCAGUCCACGGCUUCCCUCUCCUGGACCAUAAACUUUAUAUCCUAAGGGCUUGCCAGAUAAAUUGACUGGCAUAGACCCAUCCACCCUGAAAUUCUAUGAAAGAAGAGAAAAAUUGUCUAACUCUAAACAUAUGCACUAUUCUUUGUAAUGGUUUAGAAUUGUC
RNAcentral lists this long non-coding RNA (454 nucleotides) under Mustela putorius furo (domestic ferret). RNAcentral describes it as "lncRNA (ENSMPUG00000026047.1)". The record is from RNAcentral. Lineage: Eukaryota; Metazoa; Chordata; Mammalia; Carnivora; Mustelidae.